This 839-nucleotide long non-coding RNA is filed under the name Homo sapiens (human). RNAcentral's name for it is "HSALNT0371317". The record is from RNAcentral. Lineage: Eukaryota; Metazoa; Chordata; Mammalia; Primates; Hominidae.
AAGAUACCCAAGCCAGAAACAGCAACCCUUCCAGGUCCCCUUCCCCCACGUGGAAGCUUUCCUUUCACUUUCGCUUUAAUAAAUCUUGCCGCAGCACACUCUCUAAUCGAGCUGUAACACUCGCCACUGCCGUCCACGGCUUCAUUCCUUGAAGCCGUGAGACCACGAACCCUUCGAUUGAGAAGAACCUUCGGUCGGAAGAAGACUUCUCGUCUCAGUAACAAUAACAAGAAAAACAGCCUAGACUAGACGCACAUCAGGAAGACAGACGUGACUUGCUCCUCCUUGCCUUCUGCCAUGAUUGUGAGGCUUCCCCAGCCAUGUGGAAAUGUACCCAGCAUAACCCCAUUGAAGAGCUGUUCCCUGGGACCUGGAGAGGAACACAGCAGGCUGCCAUGCCCACUGCACCUGCAGUGUCGGCCACAGCCGCAGAAUAAACAUGUGGAGAAGGUCAUUGAUCACCUUGACUGAAGCACUGCAGACAAGAUAAAGACAGCCUGAUGCAGAGGAAGAUUGAGGACUAAGGGGCUUCAUCCACAGUUAAUCCCGUCAUGUAUUGACCCGGAAACAUCAUCUCAUUUGCCUAUAAGACAGAGAGAGAGAAUGAUAGAAAUGCUGGAAGAACGAGCCUUGGGGCGGUAUCGCCCAGAUCUGAAUCCACACAGCAGCUGCUUCGGUCCCUGUAACUCAAGGCUUCCUCUUAAUCCUCUGUCCUCCAUCAACACCUGGCUGAGCAGGAACAACUAUGACCUAGGACCAGGGCCUUCAGGAAUCUUCACCCCUAACUUGAACUUCAUAACACUGGAGAGCUUCCUCUGUGCUGUCUUCAUGGCUGUUAC